GAUGAACGCUGGCGGCGUGCCUAAUACAUGCAAGUCGAGCGAACAGAUGAGGAGCUUGCUCCUCUGACGUUAGCGGCGGACGGGUGAGUAACACGUGGAUAACCUACCUAUAAGACUGGGAUAACUUCGGGAAACCGGAGCUAAUACCGGAUAAUAUAUUGAACCGCAUGGUUCAAUAGUGAAAGACGGUUUUGCUGUCACUUAUAGAUGGAUCCGCGCCGCAUUAGCUAGUUGGUAAGGUAACGGCUUACCAAGGCAACGAUGCGUAGCCGACCUGAGAGGGGGACGUGCCACAGGGGAAGGAGCAGAAGCUCCGGACCACAGCGGGACGGAGCGGCAGGGAAUUGGGCGUAAAGGUCGAAGAUCCGAAAGAGGAACGGGGCAUGAAGGAGGAAGGGGCUCGGAUCGUAAAAGACUGUUAGUAGGGCAAAACAAAGGUGUAAGUACAUAUGCCCAUCCUGACGGUACCUAAGCAGAAGGCCAGCGCUAACUACGUG
Molecule: ribosomal RNA, 497 nt
Filed under: uncultured bacterium
Lineage: Bacteria
Description: partial 16S ribosomal RNA
Rfam family: Bacterial small subunit ribosomal RNA
Source: RNAcentral